AUGCCCGACUCCACCACAUAAAGUUCUGACAUAAUACAAAAUAUUUGCAGAAACAACAGUAUAACACACCUGUAAAGGGCAAUAGAACAAAGGAGGAGUGUUAUAACCUUGAACUGUUCUUUAGUCCUUGACCACCUUGGGAACUUCCAGUCAUCACCUUGCUUUGAGAGCCUUUGGCUUAAACUAUACUGGACUUCCUACUUUCAUCUCCAAGGUCCUUCUCUGAACUGGUGGUUGAAGUGAGAAUAAACAGGAGGGGGCCCAUGUGAGAAAUAUUUAGGAGGUAAAAGGAAUGUGUUAGGAGACGGUCAGGAGACAGUGUGGUGAGAGGAAGUGAUUGAAGAUGAUGCCCAAGAUGGUGGACGGACUGAGGACAUCAAUGAUGGAGACAUCUCCUGAGACAAGGAAAAUAAGAGGAAGAUCCUGCUUGUUGUUUAACACCAGGAAAGAAUCACAGAUGCCUGCACUCACUAACCAAGGCAUCCUCCAGAGGUGUGAAUGGAAGACAUUAGCACAGAACCUGGAGAGAGAAGGAACACAUUUCUGC
This 547-nucleotide long non-coding RNA is filed under the name Homo sapiens (human). Its description in RNAcentral is "HSALNT0106787". The record is from RNAcentral. Lineage: Eukaryota; Metazoa; Chordata; Mammalia; Primates; Hominidae.